This is a non-coding RNA of Meleagris gallopavo (turkey), 879 nucleotides long. The record is from RefSeq and is a predicted model, not a curated record. NCBI's taxonomy places the organism in Eukaryota, Metazoa, Chordata, Aves, Galliformes, Phasianidae.
GAUUGGUUCAUCCCUGCUAUUUACAGCAGUGCUUGUUCCCUUACCCUGGGAUGGAAUAGCAAUCCUAUUAUUCAACUACAAGUUCCAGAUGCUACAGGACAGACACAGAUACAACUGAACAUCUGAGAGUCAACCAGCCAUCAUUCUAUCAUACUUUUGGAAGCCCUUACUUCAGAUGCAUCCAGGACUGUGGAAGAGCCAGCUUCCCUUGCUGCUUGUGGCUGCAUGUGUUGAUUACUGCCAUCAGCAACACUGUGCCUGCCAGGGAGAUAACAUUCAAGUUGAAACUGGAUUUCUUGUUUGUAGUGGAGAAAAAAACAAACUUCAAAUACCAGACUUGCAUGCAAAAAGUACAGGGCACCAUGCGUGUUGUGCCUUUUAGAAAGUGAAGAAGUGUCUUAUGACUUACAAGUAUGCUUUACAUCCUUUCGAAAUGUGAAAAAGCUCAUCUAGAUGAUGAUUAAAGAAAAUUGUAACUGUAGGAAUUUGCUCCAGGAUGCAAAGCUUGCCUCAUAGUGGGGCAGAGCAUAAAUCGCUGAAUUUUGCCUCUUGGUAAAUUGUUUGAUCAUUUGCUGUGCCAUACACUUGGUCAUAACAUUAUUUCUGCCUGUGCCUCAGGCUCUUUCACAAAGAUCACUUCUUUCUUUUCAGAGCAAACAAAAAUGCAUGUUCUUGUGCUUUCCGUAAUGCUCUCUUGAUCAAAUAUGUCAAAUAAAAUACAUCUCUUAUCUUCUUCUGAGCUUCUGCUUUAUUCUGCUUUUAUUAUCCAAUGCUACAUUCUGUCAGUAUGUGGAAUACCAAAAAAUACACACUCCUUGCCUGUGAGAAAUGACGCUUUAAACAAAAGGAAUGCUGAAAGAAAUCAGAGCAGAAAUAAAA